CCCUUAGAUGUUCUGGGCCGCACGCGCGCUACACUGAUGCAUUCAACGAGUCUAAAACCUGCUCUGAUAGGGGUGGGUAAUCUUUUGAAUGUGCAUCGUGAUUGGGAUAGAUGAUUGCAAUUUUUCAUCUUCAACGAGGAAUGCCUAGUAAACGCAAGUCAUCAGCUUGCAUUGAUUACGUCCCUGCCCUUUGUACACACCGUCCGUCGCUCCUACCGAUUGAAUGAUCCGAUGAAUAUCAUGGAUUGAGGAUGCAAGCAGGUUCGCCUGUCUUCAUCUUCGAGAAGUGAAGUAAAUCUUAUCAUUUAGAGGAAGGAGAAGUCGUAACA
This 329-nucleotide ribosomal RNA is filed under the name uncultured eukaryote. Its description in RNAcentral is "partial 18S ribosomal RNA". It matches the Rfam family "Eukaryotic small subunit ribosomal RNA", at positions 1470 to 1796 of the family's 1831-position model. The record is from RNAcentral.